Molecule: small RNA, 293 nt
Filed under: Oryza sativa Japonica Group (Japanese rice)
Lineage: Eukaryota; Viridiplantae; Streptophyta; Magnoliopsida; Poales; Poaceae
Description: Os09g0444600
Source: RNAcentral
GAAAACCGAGCGAGGAUACAUGAACAGUAUCUCUGAGAUGAAAAAAAGAACUUGUCCUCGCGACACACACAAGUGGUUCUUCAACGAACAAUGAAUCCAGAGUUGUACAUUUGGCACUAACAGUACGCCCUUUGCGGGCAGCAGCAGCCGUCUCAGUUGAUACUGAUUGUGCAUGCAUGUGAGCUUAAUUUUAAAGCUUUGUUACUACUAACCUUAGGCUCUUGUUGUGGCAAAUUCACAUGUUCUUUUUCAUGGUUUUGGCUUUUGCUUUGGACAGGAAGCUUUUGUUGAGG